Molecule: transfer RNA, 62 nt
Filed under: Freysuila caesalpiniae
Lineage: Eukaryota; Metazoa; Arthropoda; Insecta; Hemiptera; Psyllidae
Description: tRNA-Ala
Source: RNAcentral
UAGGGUUAAAGUUUUAUAAUAUUUACUUUGCAUGUAAGAGAAACAAAAAUCUUGUUAACCUG